ACAGGAAGUCCUCAAGACACGAUGUCUGUACGGCUGCUCACCCUGCUGCGUGGGAAGCCCCAAAGUAUCUCAAACCACAGCCCUACUCCUGCAACCUCGGGGCUUUUUUAUCCUGCAAGUCAAUGAGCACCGUUCAGUAGGAUGAGGGAGGACGGGAUGGGGUAAAGGAUAAAGGAGGCAUGUACACGAGGCACGUACACGAGGCACCUGGGAAAACGCUAUUUCCAGAUAAGUAACCUUCCUUACACAUUUUUAACUCGCCCUGCUUUACUCUCCUUAGAAAAGCUGUGUGGCAGCCCAAGCUUUGUGCUGCAGCUGAGAGCUUGCUGGAUGAUGUAUCUGACUGUACCCAUCGUCCUUCCGCAGUGCAGCGGGGUGGGGAUUUUUUGGAAAAUAGGCCUGAAUUAGCUUCAAGUCUCUGAGCAUCAAUUUAUCCUGGGCCAGUGAUAACACUCGUCUUGUAAAAUCCUUUUUCCUAGGCUCACAGGACGUCGCUGGGAUCAGCUGCACUGAGCCGAGCACAGAACCACACACAGAACUGGAGGAGGGCAGGGGGAGGUAUCGCUGAAACACCCGGAGAGCCGGUUCGCUUAGCGCCGGCCCGGCGGGGGCUGAAGGCGGUGGGUGGCGGUCGCUGCCCCGGGACCCCGCGGCCGGCGGGGGGUGAGGGCCCGUUACCGCCGCGGGGGGGCGCGCCGAGCCCGCCGGAGCGGCCGGGGCGGGGGGCGGCGGGGCUCCCACCGCGGCGCGAGAAAAGAAGAAAAACUGAGAGGUAGGCACAAUUAUCAAACCACCAGCCUGGCACAGGCCGAGUUGGAAAGUUCUGAACUGAGGAGUGGGGGAGCUAAAAUCUUGCUGGUGUUGGGGGGAGAUUUUUCAUUCAGUUCGAGACAACUUUAUGGCACGUUAUAAUUCCUCCCUUUUGUGCCCUUUAUGAACAAGUGACUACAUCUCUCCUCAAAGCAGCUGAAAGUCCUUACGGAUAUCCCCCUUCCUGGCCAUGCACCACUUUGCUCAAAAUUGUUUACUUUAUAACUGCUUCACAAAUUCAAGAUAAAAAUCAGAGCAGUUAUUUUCAGUUGACUUUUACUGGAAUGGAUGGUGCGGCUACUGUUCCAGAAGGUCUGCAUGACUGAACAUUUGCUGCUUCUGGCAUUGGGUUGCCCCCACCCCAGGAUACAGAUAUUGUCCUAACAACACGCUGUUGCUUUGUUUGUGUGGCUGUUUGUGCAGGAAAGUUACAGACAUAGUACGAGUUGCUGGAAACCUGCCUGUUAUAGUUUGGGAAUGGGUGAAUAAGGACCAUAAACCAGCUCCACGACAUGGUCACAGGGCAAAAAAAAAAAAAAAAAAGUCCUGUCUGUCUGAGGUAAAAAAAGCAUGGUCCUGUGCUAUGGGUUUGCAGGAUUGCUCCACCAUCAGGAGGAGGGAAACCUGCAUCUGGCAGAUGAAACAAGCGCCCUAAGCCCUCAAGGCCUCUUACGGAGGAUUCAGGAACAGCAUCCACAGCUUUCCACUGGCCUCUGUCUCGUGACUAAGAAAUAACUCAAGACGGACGUACGCGGAUGACAUCUUAAUGAAGGGCUGUUUUGCCUGCAGAGGCCCAUGUCUGACUGUGCCAAGACAGAGGAAAACAGGACACAAAAUCAGACCAGCCAGCAGGUGCCUGGUGAUGCCAGUCUACCCUCGCAAAGGAGGAACAUGUCUGAGCACUGUGCAAAGAGCAACAGAGGGACAGAGAAAAGUAAAAAGA
Tyto alba (common barn owl) is the source of this 1753-nucleotide long non-coding RNA. RefSeq lists it as uncharacterized. Lineage: Eukaryota; Metazoa; Chordata; Aves; Strigiformes; Tytonidae. The transcript has 4 exons. The record is from RefSeq and is a predicted model, not a curated record.